Molecule: non-coding RNA, 112 nt
Organism: Chaetomium sp. MPI-SDFR-AT-0129
Lineage: Eukaryota; Fungi; Ascomycota; Sordariomycetes; Sordariales; Chaetomiaceae
Source: the annotation of a GenBank genome assembly
AGUUAUAUAGUAUAGUAGUAGUAUAUAUAUAUUUUAAAUAUAUUUACUACUCCUCCUUUAGAUAGUGAAUAUAGGUUAUAUAAGGUUAUAGGUUUAAUCCCUAUUAUAGUUG